CAUAUCAAUAAGCGGAGGAAAAGAAACCAACAGGGAUUGCCUCAGUAACGGCGAGUGAAGCGGCAAAAGCUCAAAUUUGAAACCCUCGGGAUUGUAAUUUGAAGACUCGGCAUUGGGAAAAGCUAACCCAAGUUGCUUGGAAUAGUGCGUCACAGAGGGUGAGAACCCCGUAUGGCUAACCGUUUCCCAUGUAUUGCCGGGUCAAAGAGUCGAGUUGUUUGGGAAUGCAGCUCCGAGUGGGUGGUAAACUCCAUCUAAAGCUAAAUACCGGCGAGAGACCGAUAGCGAACAAGUACUGUGAAGGAAAGAUGAAAAGAACUUUGAAAAGAGAGUGAAAUAGUAUGUGAAAUUGUUGAUAGGGAAGGGAAUGGGGGUAGAGUGGAGGGGGUUUCACGCGUCCCUCGGGGCGCGGUACUGCCGAAUCCGAGUCAGGCGGUGGGAGUGAGGAGCGAUAAACGGGUUACUUUGGUAUCCAACAAAUCUCCUUGCCUCCAUCGCCCGACAUAAUACCCCUACUCCACCCGUCUUGAAACACGGACCAAGGAGUCUAAUGGAUUUGUGAGUGUUUGAGUGAAAACUCCCACGCGAAAUGAAAGUAAAUGAUUCGCUCAGAAUCAACCGGUCACCAGACUGAGUAAACAAACCCAUUGGGACCCGAAAGAUGGUGAACUAUGCCUGAAUAGGGUAAAGUCAGAGGAAACUCUGAUGGAGGCUCGUAGCGGUUCUGACGUGCAAAUCGAUCGUAGAAUUUGGGUAUAGGGGCGAAAGACUAAUCGAACCAUCUAGUAGCUGGUUCCUGC
This 800-nucleotide ribosomal RNA is filed under the name uncultured Yarrowia. RNAcentral describes it as "LSU rRNA". It matches the Rfam family "Eukaryotic large subunit ribosomal RNA", at positions 39 to 961 of the family's 3401-position model. The record is from RNAcentral. Lineage: Eukaryota; Fungi; Ascomycota; Dipodascomycetes; Dipodascales; Dipodascaceae.